Molecule: long non-coding RNA, 629 nt
Organism: Armigeres subalbatus
Lineage: Eukaryota; Metazoa; Arthropoda; Insecta; Diptera; Culicidae
Exons: 3
Source: RefSeq, a predicted model, not a curated record
AGUACAUAUACAACUGCCUCCAAUGACAGUUGAAUGUAAAUAAAAUAUAAAUAAAGAUCUUCGGGAACUUUUUCCCGAAUAUUUUAAUUAUUUUAUUUGUUAUCAUCAAAAAACCAAACAGCGGUCCGGAGCCGAGGAAUCCGUUCGGGAACUUAAGAAUCGUCUUCCUUUUUCUGGUUUGCUUUUCCUCGAUGCGAUUCUCCUCUCCUUUCGGCUCGGAACAGCCUCCGUCGUCUGGGCAGCAAAGCAGCAUAGUCGUGUUUGCAGACAAAAAUAUUAGUGAAGCGAUCCUGACAAAGGUUUGCGACGCACCUCUUCUUUCGGCUCGGAUCAAGUUUCGUUGUCUGGCCACUUCCAAGGAAAUGAAGCGAAGUAUGAUGAAAAUUGAGAAAUGGUCUAGUAUGUGCUGUUGCAGAAACAAAUGCAUCCGGAAGAGUAGUUUGAAAUUUCGGUCCGGAAAUGUACUUCCUCGUCCGAUACUGGAAAAUGCUUUGCAAUUUUCAGAAAGCAUCCGCGACGACCAUCCAUCCGGUGCGGCCAUUUGCUUCCGGUCCAUUAGCAGGACAAGUUCCAAGCACUUGAGGAGCAACAAUAUGUACAAAACUAAAUAAAAAUCAAUUUAAAAUUGA